This 421-nucleotide ribosomal RNA is filed under the name uncultured bacterium. Its description in RNAcentral is "bacterial SSU rRNA". It matches the Rfam family "Bacterial small subunit ribosomal RNA", at positions 356 to 774 of the family's 1533-position model. The record is from RNAcentral.
AAGGAAUAUUGGUCAAUGGACGCAAGUCUGAACCAGCCAUGCCGCGUGGAGGAUUAAGGCCCUCUGGGUUGUAAACUCCUUUUAUCUGGGAAGAAAUGUACUUUUUCUUGAGUACUUGACGGUACCAGAGGAAUAAGCACCGGCUAACUACGUGCCAGCAGCCGCGGUAAUACGUAGGAUGCGAGCGUUGUCCGGAUUCACUGGGUGUAAAGGGAGCGCAGGCGGGCUUUCAAGUCAGUGGUGAAAUCUCACAGCUCAACUGUGAAAUUGCCGGUGAUACUGUAGGCCUUUAGUACGGAAAAGGGUGAUAGAAUUCAUGGUGUAGCGGUGAAAUGCGUAGAUAUCAUGAAGAAUACCAGUUGCGAAGGCGGUCACCUGGUCCGUUACUGACGCUCAUGCUCGAAAGUGUGGGGAGCAAACA